GGAGGAAAACGUCCUCAAAUUCUCCCCGUACGUUGAAUGUGUGAUAUACUAGCAUGAGCAAGAAGUAAACAUAUUGACUUAAACUGAGAUUUUGGGACAACUUGUUACCAUAGCAUAAUUAAUUACAUUCUGACUUAUGCUUUGGAAGGAUCAGGGAAGUCUCUCUUGAGCAAGGAAGGAGUUAAGAGUAAAGCAAAACGGAAAGUGACACCUUUAAACAACAUGAUGCAAUAAGGAAACUAAACUGCAAGUCACUCAGUAGUUAUUGAGCACUUGAUAUAUGUCAGGCACUGUUAUAGAUGCUUGGGAUACAAAUAGGUGAACAGUGGAUUCCUGUCUUCAUGGAUCUCACAUUCUAGCAAGGAAUAAUAGAUAAUGAACAAUCAACACACCAUAUCUUUUGCCUUAAGGGUGGGCCCCACUUGUGGAGCUGCACAGCACUGAAGACAUGACUAGCUAAAAUUCAGAGAAAUCCAGCUUUCUGGCCAGAGGAACCAGAAAAAGAGUCUCCUUUGAGCCAGAGAGCAUGGGGGUAGGGAAAGUGGGAAAAUCUUAAAGAGAUGCUGAGAAAAAUUCUGAGAGUUGGAAAAUCUUCUAAUUCUGUGUAUGACAUUCCAAAUAUCCUGGGCUCACUCCUGAGCUGGCAUGCACAGGACGGACCCAAGUCACCAUAGCUUUGAAAAUGAAACUGAGAUCGGAACCACCACUCUCAACAGAGCAAGAUGAACAGCAAGACCCUAACAAGUGAAGGGGUGUCUCCUGCCAGUGAAGAUGGCAAGAGAGAUGGAUUGAAGGGUGCUUUUCAUGUUGGUUUUUUUCAGUCAUGGCAAUAAAUUUUCAUCACUCUCCAACACUCUAACGCCCCAAAGAACAAGGGCCUGCAGAGUCAGCUUCCUGGCCAGGGUGCCAGGUACAUGCUGUAGCCAUUGAACAAGAUGAAGCCAACUGGGGAACAAGAUAGAACGCGUGACCCUGGCUCUUUACCAACUA
This is a non-coding RNA of Kogia breviceps (pygmy sperm whale), 990 nucleotides long. NCBI's taxonomy places the organism in Eukaryota, Metazoa, Chordata, Mammalia, Artiodactyla, Physeteridae. The record is from RefSeq and is a predicted model, not a curated record.